GCAGGCGAUCCCUCCGCCCCAGGGCUCCCCUCCCUGUCCUGGCACCAGCCGCGCCACUCGCGCUGCCCCCGGGAGGGGACCCAGGCGUCCGGAUCCCUCCCCGCCAGGCCUCCACGUCGCCGACCCGCGAUGGCCAGGCGCAGCUCGUUGUCCAUCCGAAUCGUUGAAGGGAAAAAUCUGCCUGCUAAGGACAUCACGGGCAGCAGCGACCCCUACUGCAUCGUGAAGGUGGACAAUGAACCCAUCAUCAGGACAGCCACUGUGUGGAAGACCCUGUGCCCCUUCUGGGGUGAGGAGUAUCAAGUUCAUUUGCCUCCCACGUUCCACGCGGUGGCCUUCUAUGUCAUGGAUGAGGAUGCUCUCAGCCGGGACGAUGUUAUUGGGAAGGUCUGCCUCACGAGGGAUAUGCUAGCCUCUCACCCAAAGGGAUUCAGUGGCUGGACCCACCUGAUGGAGGUGGACCGGAAUGAGGAGGUGCAGGGCGAGAUCCACCUGCGCCUGGAGGUGGUGCCGGGGACCCAUGCCAGCCGGUUGCGCUGCUCAGUGCUUGAGGCCAGGGAUCUAGCCCCCAAAGACAGGAAUGGCGCCUCUGACCCUUUCGUCCGAGUGCACUACAAUGGCCAGACCCAGGAGACCUCGGUGGUGAAGAAAUCCUGCUACCCACGCUGGAACGAGACAUUUGAAUUUGAGCUGGAGGAGGAAACCGCAGAAGCACUGUCCGUGGAGGCCUGGGACUGGGACCUUGUUAGCCGGAAUGACUUUCUAGGCAAAGUGGUUGUCAAUGUCCAGAGACUGCAUUCAGCCCGGCAGGAAGAGGGCUGGUUCCGGCUUCAACCUGAUCAGUCCAAAAGCCAACGAGGCGGGGGCAACCUGGGCUCCUUACAGUUGGAGGUGCGGCUGCGGGAUGAGACAGUGUUGCCAUCCACCUGCUAUCAGCCUCUUGUGCAGCUCCUGUGCCAGGAGGUGAAGCUGGGCACCCAGGGCCCAGGGCAGCUGAUUCCCGUCAUCGAGGAGACGACAAGAGCCGAGUGUCGCCAGGAAGUGGCCACCACCCUGCUCAAGCUUUUCCUGGGGCAGGGACUGGCCAAGGACUUUCUGGACCUGCUCUUUCAGCUGGAGCUGGGCCGAACCAGUGAGGCCAACACCCUCUUCCGGAGCAAUUCUCUGGCCUCGAAAUCCAUGGAGUGUUUUCUGAAGGUGGCAGGAAUGCGCUAUCUGCAUGGCAUCCUGGGCCCCAUUAUUGACAGAGUGUUCGAGGAGAAGAAAUAUGUGGAGCUGGACCCCAGCAAAGUGGAAGUUAAGGAUGUAGGGUGCUCUGGGCUGCACCGCCCACAGACGGAGGCCGAGGUGUUGGAGCAGAGCGCACAGACGCUGCGUACCCACUUGGUGGCGCUGCUGAGCGCACUAUGCCGCUCGGUUCGCGCAUGCCCAGCUGUGGUCCGCGCCACUUUCCGGCAAUUGUUCCGGCGCGUGCGGGAGCGCUUUCCUAGUGCCCAGCAUCAGAAUGUACCAUUCAUCGCUGUCACUAGCUUCCUGUGCCUACGCUUCUUCUCUCCUGCCAUCAUGUCGCCCAAGCUCUUCCAUCUGCGAGAGCGGCAUGCAGAUGCUCGGACCAGCCGCACGCUACUCCUGCUGGCCAAGGUUGUGCAGAAUGUGGGCAAUCUGGACACACCGGUCUCCAGGGCCAAGGAGGCGUGGAUGGAACCGCUACAGCCCACUGUGCGCCAGGGUGUGGCGCAGCUGAAGGACUUCAUCUCCAAGCUCGUGGACAUAGAAGAGAAGGAAGAGCUGGACCUGCAGCGGGCAUUGAACUCGCAGGCACCGCCAGUGAAGGAGGGUCCGCUGUUCAUCCACAGGACCAAAGGCAAAGGCCCUCUUGCGUCCUCCUCGUUCAAGAAACUGUACUUCUCUCUCACUACCGAAGCCCUCAGCUUCGCCAAGACAUCCAGCUCCAAGAAAAGCGCCUUCAUCAAGCUCGCCAGUAUCCGGGCUGCGGAGAAGGUGGAGGAAAAGAGCUUUGGCAGCUCCCACGUCAUGCAGAUCAUCUAUGCAGACGAUGUUGGCCGGUCCCAGACUGUCUACCUGCAGUGCAAGUGUGUGAAUGAGCUGAACCAGUGGCUGUCCGCACUGCGGAAGGUGAGCAUCAACAACACGGGACUCCUGGGAUUGUACCACCCUGGCGUCUUCCGCGGGGACAAGUGGAGCUGCUGUCACCAGAAGGACAGGACAGACCAGGGCUGUGACAGGACCCACUCUCGGGUGACCCUGCAGGAAUGGAAUGACCCCCUGGACCAUGACCUUGAGGCUCAGCUCCUCUACAAGCACCUGCUAGGCGUGGAGGCUGCACUUCGGGAGAAGCAGCGGCUCCUGAGUGGGGAAACAGGAACAAGCUCACCCACAGACCGUGGUGGAGCUCCCAAGGACCCGCUGGCCCAGUUGCUUUGUGUGCUGCAAGACCUCCGGGAAGCCCACAGCUCCAGCCUGGCUGGCGCCCCACCCAGAGAGCCCCAUCACCUUCUAGAGCUACAGACGUGAGGCGUACGCCGAGCCUGGCAGGCAUUUGGAGAACCCCGACAUGCUCAGGACCCUCGUCACGGCCAUCUCUUCUGGGGAGGCCAUAGCCCAACAUGGGCUUCUCCAUGUCUGUGGGGGACAGCGGUGGCACCUGCGUCUUUGGGAGACCCGACUGCUCAGCUCUCAAGGAUACUGGAGUAGUGCAGCACGCCGCUCCCGCCAGCAGAAGAGACGACCGCAACAGGAUUCUUCUCAGAACACACUUUAUUGGAGCACUUACACUUGAGGUUGUAGAGAGGCAAAAGACCCCGUCCCCGUGAAGCAGAAGAAUAUAUACGGUGCCAGACAAAGCCCUGACGUGUCAUCAACCCAAUGGCUCAGGCCAGAAUGAGUGAUCGUGCUGAAUUAUGAUUGGCCAGAUCAGAUGGCCAGAUCGAUAGACUCCCCGCGCUGGGGGGGGGGGGAGCUCGCGUGCAUGCGCACAAGUUGUCUGUCAAGUUUGACGUGGAACAGCAAACAGCGCCCAGGCUCCGUGCCCACGACAUGACAGUGCCGUGGCGGUGCUACAUCUCUGCGCGCUACAUCUCUGCGCGCUACAGAGUAGGCAGAGUAGGCAAGCUCGAACUCAAAUGACUUUUAAGUCAGAAUGGACUCCAGAUGGAAACCGAGUCACUCAUGGGCUCCCACAAAACCUAGGGCGCGAUUGUGCUCAGAAAGCUCUCUUCCAGUGGACCCACAGGUCUGGCCCCAUUAGCUCUGAGACAGUAUCUCAUCUAGUCAGGCUGGCUUCAAACAACUGUCCAGCUGAGGAGGAUCUUGAACUCCUGAUCCCAGUGACUCCAUCUCGACAGUGCUGGCUUUACAGGCCUAAGCCACCAUGCCUGAAUUCAAGGGCUAUGCUCAAAAAUCACACUCAGGCUGGCAGUGUGGUUCAGUGGUAGGACACCUGCCUGGCAUAUACAAGACCCUGGGUUCCAUCUCUAGGGUCGUAAACAGUUCAGCCAAUACAAACAAUAACUAAGUGGCUACUGGUCAGGGCAUGUCCUGGUUUCUCAUCGUCUCAGCUCUGGUUUUCAGGGUGGCCUGAAGAAAACCUUAUUGCUCCUUCCCAUGAGACGACUCCUCCUCACGGGGUGGUCUGUCUUCAGGGGUCUCCUGUUCCUAGAAAUCAAGGUGACUACAUGCUUUGGACUGUGACUGGAGAAAGUCUGCAUGGAGAAGCCCUGCAUGAUUUCUGCUCUUCCUCCUCGUCUUCUUCUGAAUUUGAAGGGACAAAAGCUGAGCAAGAUGCCUGCAAUAUCUGUGCCUUCCGCCUUCAAGGCAGAUGCACUGGGCUAGCUGUGACUAGGUCUUAGGUAGACCCUCCAGGAAUAGCAUGCCCAUUCGCACAGGCAGGGGUCUGUGACACAGUGUGAGGGGCUCCCAAGUCCUCUGGCACCUGACAUCAUCUUCACCUGUUUCCUGCGGCACCACCAUCAUCCAUGCCACAUACUGGUGCCUCAGUGCUCACAAUACCAGUGGAUAGGGUGGCGCCCGCCUGCGAUUUCAACGCCUGGGAGACUGAGUCGGUAAUGGUUACUGUUCUUGUUGCUGUCUACAAACCUGACAGAAGCAUCUUAAGGAAGGGUACAGCUCAUCAUGGUGGGGAUGCCAUAGCCACAGGAGUGCCAGGCAGCUGAUCCCGUUGCCAUCGGCAGCCAGGAAGCAGAACGAGAUGACUUACUUUCUUCUUUUAAUGAGUCUGAGACCUUAGACUCUAGUGUGCCGUCACCCACAUUAAUGGUAAGUCUUUCUUCCUCAGUUAAACCUGUCUAGACUCUCACAGACCCAGAAGUUUUGUUUCGUUUUUAACUUUGCAUUGUGUGUGCACCGAUAUGCAGAUGCUGUACACAGGGAGGUCAGAGGAGUUCUUCUCUCCUUCCCACAUGGAUCCUGGGAAUUGAAACCAGGUAGUCAGGUGUGGUGACACUACCUUUACCCAGUGGGCUGCCUUGCAGGUCCCACCUAGAGCUCUGUUUCCACAAUGAUCUUAAAUUUCAUCCGGCUGACAAGAACCAUCGUGGAGGCUGGAGAAAUGGCUCCGCAGUUAAGAGCCUUACUGCUCUUCGGGGGACUAAGUUCGGUUCCCAGCAGCCACGUAGGGUGGUUCACACGCACUUGUAACUCCAGCUCCAAAGGACCCAACCCUCUUCUGGUCUCCAAAGGCACCUACAGACACGUGCCACACAAAUCUUUAAAAAUAGAAAACACUAACUGCCACAGAGACCGCUGAAAAAACGGAGAGGGGCCAGGAUUUCAUCGUGUGUUUAGUUAUCUGUGUGCCCAAGAGAGAAUCCACUGGCACCCCAAGCUCUUCCCCGACCUUUACACAUUUUCCUGCUGUCCUGAAUCUCAUCCAGCAAACUUCACAAGGACGCCGGUGUCGACCCAGCCGGGGGUCCUGCAGCAGCAGCCCACACAGGCGACUUUACACACACAGUUCGGACACCAGCUCAGGGCGGACCAGUGAGCCAGUUGCAGGUGGCUCAGCUUUCCCCGCGCCGGCAUAGGCGCCCAAAAGCGGCCGGGUGACAGCAACGGACC
This is an RNA transcript of Alexandromys fortis (reed vole), 5097 nucleotides long. It is a transcript of the gene named RAS p21 protein activator 4B, with no coding region annotated. The record is from RefSeq and is a predicted model, not a curated record. Lineage: Eukaryota; Metazoa; Chordata; Mammalia; Rodentia; Cricetidae. The transcript is spliced from 22 exons.